GCGGUAACACCGGCGGCCCGAGUGGUGAUCGUGAUUAUUGGGUCUAAAGGGUCCGUAGCCGGUUUGGUCAGUCCUCCGGGAAAUCUGAUAGCUCAACUAUUAGGCUUUCGGGGGAUACUGCCAGACUUGGAACCGGGAGAGGUAAGAGGUACUACAGGGGUAGGAGUGAAAUCUUGUAAUCCCUGUGGGACCACCUGUGGCGAAGGCGUCUUACCAGAACGGGUUCGACGGUGAGGGACGAAAGCUGGGGGCACGAACCGGAUUAGAUACCCGGGUAGUCCCAGCCGUAAACGAUGCUCGCUAGGUGUCAGGCAUGGCGCGACCGUGUCUGGUGCCGCAGGGAAGCCGUGAAGCGAGCCACCUGGGAAGUACGGCCGCAAGGCUGAAACUUAAAGGAAUUGGCGGGGGAGCACAACAACGGGUGGAGCCCUGCGGUUUAAUUGGACUCAACGCCGGACAACUCACCGGGGGCGACAGCAAUAUGUAGGCCAAGCUGAAGACUUUGCCUGAAUCGCUGAGAGGUGGUGCAUGG
This 532-nucleotide ribosomal RNA is filed under the name uncultured archaeon. RNAcentral's name for it is "bacterial SSU rRNA". It matches the Rfam family "Archaeal small subunit ribosomal RNA", at positions 467 to 997 of the family's 1478-position model. The record is from RNAcentral.